Molecule: long non-coding RNA, 3817 nt
Organism: Eupeodes corollae
Lineage: Eukaryota; Metazoa; Arthropoda; Insecta; Diptera; Syrphidae
Exons: 2
Source: RefSeq, a predicted model, not a curated record
UCUGCCAGAAUUCAAGAGCUCAAUCGAAGUCUUCUCGAGGAACAAGAUGCCCAAAACCAAAAUAGUUCUAGUGACAACGAAGAUAUUAUGUAGAUCUUAAGUAGAAUACAAAAUAUAUAUAAGUACGUAUUUUAUUAUAUUAUAAAAAAAGGAAAAUAGAUAUAAAUAUAUAUAUUAAAUAAUAUAAAUAUAAUAAAAAUGUGAACACUUAUUAAAUGCACACAGAAAAACUCUCGAUGAAUUAGUUUUUUACUGUAUAGUUAGAAUAUGUAUAAGUAGUUAAAUCGUUGUAAAUGUUGAAAACAAAAAUAUAUUAUUUAAAAAAAGGCCUCAAGGCAUUAGAUGUGCAAAAACGUUUAAAAUUCCCAGCUCUCCCAAAAUAAUAUUGGCUGCAUUUAGAUUUUGAAAAAAUCAAACAAUAAAUAAAUAAUAUUAAUGUUUUGUGAACUUAAUUGUGAUUUAAUAGGAAACAAAAAAAAAAACAAAACGAAAUCAAAUUAUAAACAGAAAUUUUAGUUUAAAAUUGUAAAUAAUAAGAUAGUAUAAAGCAAAAUCUAGGGAAAUCCAUUUUUACAAUACAUACUAAAAAAAUAUUUAUAAAAUAUUUUAGUUUAAAGCUUUUUUUCUAAAUAAAAUUAUUAAAAAUCUUUAAAUCACUAAAGUACUCGUAGGUGAAGUAAAAUCAUGACAUAAUAAACUUAAAAAGAAAAAACUUUAUGUUGAUACUUUGAAAGUUUUGCAUCUUUUAUAAUUUUUGUUAAAACACUUACUUAAUUAAGAAAAAAACAAAAAGAGACAGCACUUGAAAUUGUUUGAUUCAAAGUUUUUAUUUGAUUUUUUAUAAUUGAAAUUAUAAUUUUAACUUUAUGUUUUUCGAAUGCAUUUAGUUUGUUCUAUUAAAAAUUAAAUUUUGUUUUUGUUUAAAAGUUGCAGAACUUUCAAAUAUUGUUUGCAAUUUAUUUUAGCUCAAUUUCCAUUAGUUUAAUCAAAAAAUAAACAACAUACUCGUAUAUAUAAAUAGGUACAUUUAUCAUAUACACUGUCUAGAGACAGUUGAUUGCUAUUGGUUUUACUUUUUUUCGCUUAACUAAAUUAACAAUGAGUUGACAUAUGAUACUAUUUUUUAAAAAACUGCAAAAUACAUUUAAAUUGGUCAAAUGCCACUGACGUAAAAUUCAAAUCAAUACAUUUAAAGAAAUGCCAAAUGAACUUCUAUUUAUUUUUUUCAAUAUUUGUUUGACAUUUAUGAACUAUGAAUUUUAUUUUGAAAAUUACCUUAAAAUUGAAAUGAUUUAAUUAAAGCAUUCUCAAAGUAAUAGAGCUACCAGACGCUUACACAAAUGACUUUAACAUUUUCUCCUUACGUUAUUCGAAAAAAGACAAGAAAAGCAGUAAUGUUAUUCAAACACAACCAUUUCGAUACUUUUUUUAAGAUAUUUUAUAGAAAUAACUUUAAUUUCACCAUGACAACAACGAGUUUUGACAAUUCUAAUCUGAAACUGUUCAUUUGAAUUGAAUUAAGUUGAACCAUCUUCCACAGACGAAAAACUCGGUGAUAGUCAAUUUGGCUAUCAAAAAUAUGAUAUUCAAUUAUUACUUCAGCCAAUUUCACUUCAGAUUAAUUCAACAUUUUCCGAUGGAUACUAUAGGUUUUAUAUAUAAAAGUUAAUAUCACCUUAAGUUACAAGCCUUCGGACUUGAUAAAUUAUCUGCUCUAAAAGUUGAGAAAUUUGUGAUGUAUGGAACCCUUAAAUGAGCACUUCCAGUUCGAAAUCCUUAAACUUUUUCGGUUUAUUUUUGAAAAUGCUUUACACACAUUUAAAUUCUUUCCACACUUUAUUAGUAGGAGUAAACAUUCCUAUUAAUUAGUUAUGGUUGAUCUGUCACUACUGUUUUCCAAGUUCUUAUUGAUGGUUUCGAGCUAUAGCUCACAGAUUGCUUGAAUAAUAAUUUACUAAACCACUUUAAUUUUUGGAGAAAAGUGGUAUAAUGACACCACCGCUCCACAAUCCGUACAAAACUGUCUCUUUUUGUGUAUGCGUUGGCUUGAUGAAAUCACCGUUUUUCGUUUCGAAAUGUUAAAUAGAACGUAACGAAAACGUCGGGAUAAAAAUUUGCGUCGUCAGAAAAGAUUAUUUUUCGCUUAAAAUUAUUGUUUAAUAAGUGGAUUGGAUCUUGAAAGCUAAUAAUCCGAAGUCUUUGUGUAGAAUUCUCUUUAGGUGUUGGCGUGAAAUUUUGAGCUGUUGAUAUUGAUGGUGACGGAACGACUGGCGACCAUGGUCGUUGUCAACUAGCAUAAUAGCCUCGGGAAUUUUGGUCAAGACUUCUAUUUUUGAAAUGCCUUGUUUUGUUUGAAAAAUACACGAUUGUUGAACAGUAAAGAGACUCAUUUCGCUAUCUUUAUUAAGGAGAUAAAACUUGAUAUAAAAUGAACAUAAGAUAAAUGAUGACUAAAUUCUUAAGUUUGUAACAUUUGAUAAAUUACUUUACUUUAUUUUAAUUAGUGCUACAGUGCAUUGUGGUCAUGGGCCUCAAGUAAUAACUUUCGCCAGCUUACUCGAUCUCUGGCUUGCUGCCUCCAUCUCCACCGGAGAUGAGGUCUGCCUCUGCUUCUUUUUCCCUCAGGCUUGGCGUUGAAUACCUUACGGGCUGGAGAUUUGAUGUUCAUUUGCUCGACAUGCUCGUUGAAAACGCAGUUUUUUAUCAGUGGCAAGCUCGUAUAACUUAUGAUUAUACCUUCUCUCUAAAUGUUAUUUUGAAUGUCGACACAAACCGGACCAUAUAUCGUACGCAGAACCUUCCUCUCGAAAAAUAACAAGAGAUCCUUUAUCCGUCUGGGAGAGGGUCUUCUGCGCCAUACAGCAAGACUGGGACGAUUAAGGUUUUGUACAGUGUCUCUUUGGUACUUGGCGUUAAUGCCUUGUUCCUCAACUGCUUCUUUAGACCAAUAAGAAACAGCGAUUAACAAGGGUAAUUAUACAUUUGAUCUUCGCGCUGAUGUCAUUUGAUGAAUUAACAGCAGUACCCAGAUAAACGAAUUCGUUUACCCCCUCGAAGUUAUACCUGUCAAUUGCUACGUUCUGACCAAGUCUACGGUGUGAAUCGAUUCUAUUUUACGACAGUAAAUACUUCGUUUUGUCCUCGUUAAUGUCAAGAUCCAUUUUCUUCGCCUCAGACUCGAUAUAAAAGAAGGCACCCGUUACUGCUCGUUUGACUUCUGAUACAUUGUUAUUAUAAAUUGAGCAAUCACUGCGCUGUUUUCAGACUAUUUCCAUUCAAUUAAUGUGUUUACGUAAAUUUCCCAUCAAGUGAUUGUUGUCGUUCUUUAUAAAUUAAUUUCUCGAGAAAAUAUUAGAAACUUAUAGUGGCUUUUUAGUUUCAGAAUAUAUUUCUGGAAAAAAUCAGUACAAAUUGUGUCAAAUUGUGCAGGAAUAGCUUUCAUUUAAGAAAUUGCUCAACAACUUUUAUUGAUUCUUUAAAUUCUAACAAACCCUCAUAAAUCAAAAAGGCUUUGGCCAAACUAAUUAUUCUUCCAUACAAAAAACGCAUUCCUGUCCUUUCUUGGAAAUAUAUUCCUUUUUUUUCAAAAACAAUACACAACGACCAAAACAAAUCCGUCCAUAGAUUUCAAUUCAAACAAGUUACAAGUUUUAUAAAUUUAUUAUUUUCACGUUUCUUAUACUCUAUAGUUUGAAACUUUAAUUCAAUAACAAAAAAUGGAUUUCCAACGAAAUACUUAUUUUUAAUAUGAGACCAAAAAAAAACAAAAACCAAUAGUAGUCACACAUCCCAUCCCGUUGGCAAACAACUUCACCAA